Molecule: ribosomal RNA, 510 nt
Filed under: uncultured bacterium
Lineage: Bacteria
Description: bacterial SSU rRNA
Rfam family: Bacterial small subunit ribosomal RNA
Source: RNAcentral
GAGUUUGAUCCUGGCUCAGGACGAACGCUGGCGGCGCGCCUAACACAUGCAAGUCGAACGGAGCUUAGAGAGCUUGCUUUUUAAGCUUAGUGGCGAACGGGUGAGUAACGCGUGAGUAACCUGCCCUAGAGUGGGGGACAACAGUUGGAAACGACUGCUAAUACCGCAUAAGCCCACGGCUCGGCAUCGAGCAGAGGGAAAAGGAGCAAUCCGCUUUGAGAUGGCCUCGCGUCCGAUUAGCUAGUUGGUGAGGUAAUGGCCCACCAAGGCGACGAUUGGUAGCCGGACUGAGAGGUUGAACGGCCACAUUGGAACUGAGACACGGUCCAGACACCUACGGGUGGCAGCAGUCGAGAAUCAUUCACAAUGGGGGAAACCCUGAUGGUGCGACGCCGCGUGGGGGAAUGAAGGUCUUCGGAUUGUAAACCCCUGUCAUGUGGGAGCAAAUUAAAAAGAUAGUACCACAAGAGGAAGAGACGGCUAACUCUGUGCCAGCAGCCGCGGUAAUUC